GGAGAGGUGCUAGAGUGGUUCAAUAGACGGGGAGCUCUUAAUCUCAUGAAAUUCCCGGUUCAUCGGUUCGAAUCCGAUCCUCUCCA
RNAcentral lists this transfer RNA (86 nucleotides) under Gramella sp. Hel_I_59. Its description in RNAcentral is "tRNA-OTHER". It matches the Rfam family "tRNA". Rfam says of the family: Transfer RNA (tRNA) molecules are approximately 80 nucleotides in length. Their secondary structure includes four short double-helical elements and three loops (D, anti-codon, and T loops). The record is from RNAcentral. Lineage: Bacteria; Pseudomonadati; Bacteroidota; Flavobacteriia; Flavobacteriales; Flavobacteriaceae.